This 102-nucleotide non-coding RNA is filed under the name Rummeliibacillus stabekisii. RNAcentral describes it as "Guanine sequence". It matches the Rfam family "Purine riboswitch aptamer". Rfam says of the family: Riboswitches are metabolite binding domains within certain messenger RNAs that serve as precision sensors for their corresponding targets. Allosteric rearrangement of mRNA structure is mediated by ligand binding, and this results in modulation of gene expression. A class of riboswitches that selectively recognises guanine and becomes saturated at concentrations as low as 5 nM. The record is from Rfam by way of RNAcentral. Lineage: Bacteria; Bacillati; Bacillota; Bacilli; Caryophanales; Caryophanaceae.
AAAAUUAUAUAAGUUGUUUUUCAUAUAAUCGUGAGAAUAUGGCUCACAAGUUUCUACCUGUUUACCGUAAAUAAACUGGCUAUGGAAAGCUUUGAAAAGAUA